Hydra vulgaris (swiftwater hydra) is the source of this 1882-nucleotide long non-coding RNA. RefSeq lists it as uncharacterized. Lineage: Eukaryota; Metazoa; Cnidaria; Hydrozoa; Anthoathecata; Hydridae. The record is from RefSeq and is a predicted model, not a curated record.
CUUUUUUAAAAAACAAAACAAUGAUAAAUUUAAAAACCUUAAUCUUUGUUUACAUGGCAUGUAAACAAAGAUUAAGGUUUUUUAAACUAUAUAUACCAAUGAUGGUAAUAUAUACCAAUGAUGGUAUAUUAAAAAAGAUUAGGAUUUAAGAUUAAACCGUUACUUUGGAAUAUUUUAUUAACUAAUAGUAUCAAAUACCAUUGUUGUUAAUACACCAUAUAUAUAAAAAUAUACAAACAACAUUAUUAUACUUUAAAGUAAAACAUUAUUGGCUUAAGCCAAUAACGUUUUUGACAAAAUAUUUUUAUAAUAAUAAGCUUAUUUUUGUAAAAAUAUCAAGAUACUUUUACAAUAAUAAAUUUAUUCUUAUAUCUUGUUAGUGUAUUUCUAAUAUACAGUAAUAUAAUUUUAAAAUACAGUAAUAUUAUUUGUUUUUAAUUUUUUUUUCAUACCUUUUUCUUGUUAGUAAAGUUGUUAUACGUAAAGCAGAACUGAUUUAAUAACUGUUAUUUUUAUCGACUGUUGACAAUUUCAAGAUCUUUUUUUUUUGAUUAUACAAUUUUUUUGUUAUCUUUAUUCCAAUAUGCACAGACUACAGCUGGUAAGUUAUUAUAGCAUAACUUUUAUUAACCAUUAAAGAAAUAUAAAUAAAUAUAUGUAUUUCCUACUUAUCUAAUUAUUACUUGUUGUGUAUGGAUUUCCCAUUUGCUGCAAUUUUUUAAUUUUAGUAUCUACCUUUUGUGUUACAUGUAAGUUAAACAACUUUUUAAUGUUAAAACUUUACAAUACGUUUAACUUAAGUUCCUUAGUCAUGUGCUGCAACUAGUAAUUUAAAAAACUAUUACAUUUUAUGUGUAUGCAUUUCUCGUUAUUUAAAAUAUUGAUUUUUUGUUACAACAUUGUAAUUUUAGUAUCUACCUCUUGUGCUACACCUGGUAAGUUAAACAACUCUUUCUAAUGUGCACAAAUUUCUCAUUGAUUGCAAUAUUGAUUUUUAUAAUAUAUUUUUUACCUUUAGUUCUUUAUACGUGUGGCCUGGUAAGUUUCAAAACCUUUUUUCUUUUAACAUGUGUAUGCAUUUCUUAUCAAUUGCAUAUUCUUUUUUGCAAUUGCAUUUCUUAUCAACUGGUUUUUAAUUAAAACCUUUUUUAUAUAAAAAUUAUUACUUUUUAGACUAUGAAUGCAUUUAUUACCAUUUGCAAUUUGUAUUUUUUAUUAAAACAAAUUUUACUUUUAGUUCCAUCUGUACCACCUUUAAACGGUAAAUUUAUAAAUCUAGAAUGUCUCUGAUUUUUUACUGAGUUCCUCUUAUUCCUAUUUAUAUUAUCUAUUUAAUACUUUUGUGUUUUGUUAUCUCUCCAAGUGCUAUAAAAGAAGAAUCAGAAGCUUAUACAUGUUUGAGUUUUUAUUCUGAUUAACUUUUAUUAAAAUUUCAUUGAUUCAUUAAUCAUUCUUUAUAUUUAUUCAGACAAACUGUCUUAGUAAGUAUUUAUUUAAUUUUUUUAAUUUUUAAUUACAUGAAUUACAAAUACAUUAAUAUUUUAUUUGUUUUUAGAGCUUACAUAUGAAGCUUAUAGGUCAUUUCAAUCUUAAAAUUAAAAUCAUUUACUAAAAGCCAAGACAUAGAGUAAUUACUAUGUUUUAAAACAUUUUUAUUAUUAUUUUUUUUUUAUUAGAAUGGUGGGUUAAAUAUGAUCAUUUAAAUGAGAAAAUGUAUACUAGUGCAACUUGUAAUCUGGGUGUUAUAACAUCACAACCACAUCUAUGGUCAACUCUAAGAUCACCUUAUUUUGUUUGGCAGUGUUUUGGAAUCAAGUUAUGGCAAUAUUUUGUGUAUAAAAUAUAACAAUUACAUUUAAAAAGUGCUUAUUUCUGACAAAAA